GAUGAACGCUAGCUACGGGCUUAACACAUGCAAGUCGCGGGGCAGCAUGUAUCUGGCUUGCCAGAUACGAUGGCGACCGGCGCACGGGUGAGUAACGCGUAUCCAACCUGCCCAUAACCACGGCACAGCCCGUCGAAAGGCGGAUUAAUGCCGUAUGAGGUUCCGGCGUAGCAUUAUGAUGGAACGAAAGGAUUGGCGGUUAUGGAUGGGGAUGCGUCCGAUUAGCUUGUUGGCGGGGUAACGGCCCACCAAGGCGACGAUCGGUAGGGGUUCUGAGAGGAAGGUCCCCCACACUGGAACUGAGACACGGUCCAGACUCCUACGGGAGGCAGCAGUGAGGAAUAUUGGUCAAUGGGCGCAAGCCUGAACCAGCCAAGUAGCGUGCAGGAAUGACGGCCCUAUGGGUUGGUAAACUGCUUUUUUCGCGGGGAUAAAGAGGGGAUGCGUCCCCCCGUUGCAGGUACCGCGUGAAUAAGGAACCGGCUAAUUCCGUGCCAGCCGCCGCAGUAAC
This 511-nucleotide ribosomal RNA is filed under the name uncultured bacterium. RNAcentral describes it as "bacterial SSU rRNA". It matches the Rfam family "Bacterial small subunit ribosomal RNA", at positions 28 to 524 of the family's 1533-position model. The record is from RNAcentral.